RNAcentral lists this ribosomal RNA (800 nucleotides) under Plantibacter sp. Its description in RNAcentral is "bacterial SSU rRNA". It matches the Rfam family "Bacterial small subunit ribosomal RNA", at positions 667 to 1464 of the family's 1533-position model. The record is from RNAcentral. Lineage: Bacteria; Bacillati; Actinomycetota; Actinomycetes; Micrococcales; Microbacteriaceae.
UUCCUGGUGUAGCGGUGGAAUGCGCAGAUAUCAGGAGGAACACCGAUGGCGAAGGCAGAUCUCUGGGCCGCUACUGACGCUGAGGAGCGAAAGGGUGGGGAGCAAACAGGCUUAGAUACCCUGGUAGUCCACCCCGUAAACGUUGGGCGCUAGAUGUGGGGACCAUUCCACGGUUUCCGUGUCGUAGCUAACGCAUUAAGCGCCCCGCCUGGGGAGUACGGCCGCAAGGCUAAAACUCAAAGGAAUUGACGGGGGCCCGCACAAGCGGCGGAGCAUGCGGAUUAAUUCGAUGCAACGCGAAGAACCUUACCAAGGCUUGACAUAUACGAGAACGGGCCAGAAAUGGUCAACUCUUUGGACACUCGUAAACAGGUGGUGCAUGGUUGUCGUCAGCUCGUGUCGUGAGAUGUUGGGUUAAGUCCCGCAACGAGCGCAACCCUCGUUCUAUGUUGCCAGCACGUAAUGGUGGGAACUCAUGGGAUACUGCCGGGGUCAACUCGGAGGAAGGUGGGGACGACGUCAAAUCAUCAUGCCCCUUAUGUCUUGGGCUUCACGCAUGCUACAAUGGCCAGUACAAAGGGCUGCAAUACCGUAAGGUGGAGCGAAUCCCAAAAAGCUGGUCCCAGUUCGGAUUGAGGUCUGCAACUCGACCUCAUGAAGUCGGAGUCGCUAGUAAUCGCAGAUCAGCAACGCUGCGGUGAAUACGUUCCCGGGCCUUGUACACACCGCCCGUCAAGUCAUGAAAGUCGGUAACACCCGAAGCCAGUGGCCUAACCGCAAGGAUGGAGCUGUCUAAGGUG